CUAGAGGGAACCGCGCUACCUUCUUGCAUUCCACCUGCGUGCAUGGGAACAAACAAAACUCUGUCUUUAAUUGGGAGAAUAAGAACAUUUACUGUGAUUUUAAAGUGUAGAGCGGGACAUUUGAUUUACUCUCAGCGGAAUUGACCGGAGAAGGCAUCAGUUCAUGCACUGCACUGGCCCGCACCAUGAUUAGUAUAAGGCACAUUUCACGAAGCAGAACGCAGUCUUCAGAGAUAUCCACGUGAACGCUGUGAUACGUCUGACCUUCAGUCCGAAGAAGAAACCCAGACCAGUCUUAAAAGAA
This is a long non-coding RNA of Pelmatolapia mariae (spotted tilapia), 304 nucleotides long. RefSeq lists it as uncharacterized. The transcript is spliced from 3 exons. The record is from RefSeq and is a predicted model, not a curated record. Lineage: Eukaryota; Metazoa; Chordata; Actinopteri; Cichliformes; Cichlidae.